This 253-nucleotide ribosomal RNA is filed under the name uncultured bacterium. Its description in RNAcentral is "partial 16S ribosomal RNA". It matches the Rfam family "Bacterial small subunit ribosomal RNA", at positions 524 to 776 of the family's 1533-position model. The record is from RNAcentral.
GACGAGGGAUCCUAGCGCUGCUCGGAAUUAUUGGGCGUAAAGCGGGUGUAGGUGGCUUGGUAAGUCGGGUGUGAAAGCCCAGGGCUCAACCCUGGAAGUGCAUUCGAUACUGCUGAGCUUGAGUGCGAGAGAGGUUAAUAGAAUACCUGGUGUAGUGGUGAAAUACGUAGAUAUCAGGUGGAACACCGGAGGCGAAGGCGGUUAACUGGCUCGACACUGACACUGAGACCCGAAAGCUAGGGGAGCGAAUGGG